UAAUGGCGAAUGAACAGGGAUGAGCUCAAUAUGGAAAUUGCGGCUUCUGGCUGUGAAUUGUAAUCUCAAGAUGUAUUGCUAACGGGGGCGUGGGUGUAAGCCUCUUGGAAAAGAGAACCGUAGAGGGUGAGAAUCCCGUCUGUCAUCCACAGUCCUCCGUGUACGGCGUACGUUCUUAGAGUCACGUUCCUCGGGAUUGGAGCGCAAACUGGGUGGUAAGUUUCAUCUCAAGCUAAAUAUGGGUUCGAAACCGAUAGCAAACAAGUACCAUGAGGGAAAGAUGAAAAGGACUUUGAAAAGAGAGUUAAAAGUGCCUGAACUUGCUGAAAGGAAAGCGGAUGGAACCAGUGUUGCUUGGUGAGAUUGUUGCACGCUAUGGUGAUUCUCGCUGCGACAGCGUAAGCGUCGCUGUGAGUUGUAUCCUGUUGCGUGUGAUGUUUCUUACCUUGUGCGUCAUCGUCGGUUUGGGGGCGUGGAUAACCCUUGAGACAUGGUAGCACGGCCGCGGCUGUGUGAACGUGUCUUGCGGAACUCGCCUCCAGACUGGUACACUCAUGGUGACUAAAUGGUUCUAUUCGACCCGUCUUGAAACACGGACCAAGGAGUCUAACAUAUGUGCGAGUUCUUGGGUUUUAAACCUACGUGCGCAAUGAAAGUGAUUACUGAGAUAUUAGCAUCAGCAGCCGACCGAUCAAUUGGGAGAGGUUUGAGCAUGAGCAUAUCUGUUAGGACCCGAAAGAUGGUGAACUAUGCCUGUGAAGGGCGAAGUCUGGGGAAACUCAGAUGGAGGCUCGUAGCGAUACUGACGUGCAAAUCGUUCGUCAUACAUGGGUAUAGGGGCGAAAGACUAAUCGAACCAUCUAGUAGCUGGUUCCCUCCGAAGUUUCCCUCAGGAUAGCUGGAGUUGAAUAGUUUUAUCAGGUAAAGCGAAUGAUUAGAGGAAUCGGGGACAUGUUGUCCUCGACCUAUUCUCAAACUUUAAAUGGGUAAGCUGCAGUUGUUACUUAGUUGAACUUCUGCGUUUAAUUACAACUCUAAGUGGGCCAUUUUUGGUAAGCAGAACUGGCGAUGAGGGAUGAACCUAACGUU
RNAcentral lists this ribosomal RNA (1089 nucleotides) under Barrufeta resplendens. Its description in RNAcentral is "LSU rRNA". It matches the Rfam family "Eukaryotic large subunit ribosomal RNA", at positions 84 to 1176 of the family's 3401-position model. The record is from RNAcentral. Lineage: Eukaryota; Dinophyceae; Gymnodiniales; Gymnodiniaceae.